GUCCCGUCUGGUUGGACCAAAGAAAGCUCGUGAAAUGUGGUUUUUAACAAGGUUCUACACAGCUUCUGAAGCAGAGAAAAUGGGACUUGUGAAUACUGUUGUUCCAGUAGAUAAGUUGGAAGCAGAAACAAUAAAGUGGUGCAGAGAGAUCUUAAGAAAUAGUCCUACAGCGAUACGAGUGCUAAAAUCAGCUCUGAAUGCAGUUGAUGAUGGACAUGCUGGACUUCAGGGCCUUGGAGGAGAUGCCACUCUUCUAUUUUAUGGAACUGAAGAAGGCAAUGAAGGCAAAAAUGCAUACAACGAACGUAGACGACCAGAUUUCUCUAAGUUUCCCAGGCUACCUUGAGUGUCGUUGUUGUUG
RNAcentral lists this unclassified non-coding RNA (361 nucleotides) under Hevea brasiliensis (rubber tree). Lineage: Eukaryota; Viridiplantae; Streptophyta; Magnoliopsida; Malpighiales; Euphorbiaceae. The record is from RNAcentral.